Cavia porcellus (domestic guinea pig) is the source of this 2707-nucleotide RNA transcript. It is a transcript of the gene named OX-2 membrane glycoprotein-like, with no coding region annotated. The record is from RefSeq and is a predicted model, not a curated record. NCBI's taxonomy places the organism in Eukaryota, Metazoa, Chordata, Mammalia, Rodentia, Caviidae. The transcript is spliced from 7 exons.
UUUCCCAGAAUGUCUCUUUUGUGCCAAGUGUGUAAGUUAUAUGAUAACUCAGAACAACAGGCAGAUACAGUAUGGCAAAAAACUUUUUCAUAGAAACAUCUUAACAGAAUUGACCUACUCCAGGAAGUUAUUUCAAGGCAGGCACAACGAACUUUUUCGGAAUGAAUAAGAGAAAUCUAAGCAAGUUUUUAAUUUCUCUGUGGGAGUUCAGCUAGAACAUAAAACUACUUUGACUAUUCCUGAGGAUUUUUGUCAAUAAAUCUAUGGACUUUCCACUCCACUUCAUUUUCCAGCUCUUGAUACUUCCCAUCUGUGCACUAGAAUCAGAACCUGCACAUGGGAUAAAGUAUAAAAAGAACGAGACUGCCAUAUUGGGAGAAAAUGUGACUAUUUUCUGCAAUUUGACAACGCCAGCAAAUGUUGUGCAAAUUACCUGGCAAAAGAUCCAAAACUCUUUGCCCCAAAAUAUUGGGACUUACAGCAGUAAAUAUGGAGAAAAGAUUCUUCCACCAUACAUAGACCGGCUGCAAUGUAAAGUCAUGGAACCAAAUUCCUCAUUCCUGACUAUCCAAGAAGUGACACUUGAAGAUGAAGCUUGCUACAAAUGUCUCUUUAAUAUGUUUCCGCAUGGCAGUCAUGGAGGGCAAAUCUGCCUUAACAUUAUAACUGUGUCUGAAUUAACUGAACUUCAAUUUAACCCUGACUCUGAAGGUUUUCUUAGACUUACGUAUUCGGCUGUGGGAAAACCUGCUCCUCGAAUCUCUAUCUUUCCCUCACAAGUCCUAAUUAACCCUCCUGAAGAAUGCCUUGCUCAGAACCCAAAUGGCACAGUUACUGUCACUAAAAUGUACACCAUCUCUUUGGAAACUGUGAAGUUCUUGGGACUCCAACACCUGAUUGUGAACAUGGAUCAUCCUUUAAAGAAUGAAGACAAGAUUGUUCCUCUCUCAGUAAAGCAAGAAUGUUCUUCUAGUCCAACAGUGAUAAUCAUUGUACUCACUUCUUUAUGUUUUGUGCUUACCAUCAUUAUCAUCAUUCUUUGUGUUCAAAGAAAGAAAAGCAUACUCUUGCAAUGUCCUGCCAUGAGGGGAAGUGUCUGUGCUGACCAAUGUCAUUGUCCCUUGAGGUCAGAGACUGUGUCUCAACUAUCAUCUCUGAAGCAAUCCCAAGGACCGCUUAGUGAGCCCUUGUCAUUGAGCACAUAGGGAUGGAGAACCCAGGGGCUCACACAUUGUAGGCAGAGUGUUCUAUCGGAGUUACCUCUGACUCUAUGGUUUUAAAGUAAGAGAGCAGAUCUCUUGCAUCCUCUAAAGAUGAUGAAUGAGGUGCUGUUUUAAAAUAUUUUUUUCCUCUGGAAUUUAAAAUGUUCAAUCUUUUGCAGUUUUUUCUUAUGUGUUUUCAAAUUCUAUUGAAAUAAUUCCACUAUAUACCAGUGAGUAUACAUUCAAGUGAAAUGAUACUGUGACAGCAGCAUCAGCAAACAGACAACAGCAAAACGGCCAAUGGACAAGUAACAUUUACAGUGUGGACGGAGUGGGCAAAAGAUGAGCUGUCAUAGGCAGGACAGAGUGAGAUGUCACAAGGUGGCUUCAGGCUUCUUAGAGUGGCAUGCAAAUUUUGAAUUGUUUAUUUCUAGAUUUUUAUUCCCCUCUCUCAUAUUAAUUUUAAAUUUCUCUUUAAAACUUAAAAAAUUAAUCAACAUACAUGAAGGAAUGGACAGCUAUUUUGAGGAGAAUGAGAGACAUUAUGGCAGCCACUGUUGACUUCCCUAUUGUCUGGUCUUGAAGACCUAAAAUGCUUUCAUCACUCUGUUCGGAUCAGUUUUAUACUAUUUUGUUUUGUAUGAAUUCAUUGUAUGUGAAGAUAUGGACAACUAUUUGGAAGAAAACAACAGACAAUAUAAUAGACAGUGAAGAUCUCCGGUUGUCUUGCUUUGAAAUCUGUGUCUCUUACAUUGUUUUCUUCUGAUCUGUUUUGUUAUGUUUAAUUUUACCCUCUUUAAAAAUAAAAUUUUUAAAAAUUUUUUAAAACUUAAAAUUUAAAAAUUUUUUAAUUGAUAUAUAAAAACUUUAUGGAAUCCCAUGUUGUUUUUAUACAUGUAUACACUAUAUAAUGUAAAUCAUAUUAAUCAUAUCCAUCUCCUCAAAGACUUAUCAUUUCUUUAUGGUGAAACUGUUCAAAAAUCCCUUUUGCUAGUUCUUAUGGUUUGUGUCUAGAUGUCCCCCACAGUCUCAUGCAGUCAUGGGGGGUAGGUAGCUGAAUCUAGAAUGUAUGGUGCUAGGAUUAAGGGUAUGUGAUUAGUUAAUCAGCCCACUGAUUGGUUUGGGAUAAGUCUGACUAGAAUUAAGAGUGAGAGUCCUAGGGUGGGUAGCCUGCAUACACUAUAAGGGGCAGAAAGAAGCUUAUCCCCUCUUUCUUGUUAUUUUUGCUUCCUUGUGGACACCAUGAAUUGUUCUCUGAGAUGCCCCUCUGACAAGCCAUCCUGCCUCAGAGCCAGCCAAGUAUGGACUGAAACCUCCACAAACUAUCCAAGAACUCUGGAGCCCGAAUUUUUUUUUAAAAAUCCUCAUUAAUGCAAGCUGAAGAAAACUCCUCAGUAAGGAGAAAAACCAACCACCUCAUGAACGAAGUCAUUACAAAAUUGAUUUCUUGAAUAUAUAAUUUCGAAUUCAAAAUAAUAAAUGUCAGAUUUUUUAAUCUAGAAAAA